This is a long non-coding RNA of Elgaria multicarinata webbii, 1347 nucleotides long. RefSeq lists it as uncharacterized. The record is from RefSeq and is a predicted model, not a curated record. NCBI's taxonomy places the organism in Eukaryota, Metazoa, Chordata, Lepidosauria, Squamata, Anguidae. The transcript is spliced from 6 exons.
UCAGCUGCUUUGUAAAGUCCGAUGACAGAGCUGUCAGGUUUCUUACUUGAGAAACUGUGUGAUGUCUGCAAAGAGGGGGAAAGGGUGACCCUGAAGAAAAUAGCGAUGUCAUGAAUCGACGGAUCUAACAACGUAGUCUGGGCUCCGUGCCAAAGGCUGGUAUUUCACAGCAGCGACCGCCUUACAGAUGAGCUGUGGGAAGCAGGAGGGAGAAUCUCUUAGGGUGCCACUACUAUGGAGACACAGCUGGGCUGAACAAGAUUCGCUUCAUACGACAACAAGAGAGGCAGAAAAAGUGUCUGGUUCAAGCGCUGCCCAGGCAGGCAGUAACCAGAAGAGCUAGCAGCCAAUCCGGCCAUGCUGCACUGUUCGAAACCAGCUCCACAUCUCAGCCAAUCAGUGACAUCAUUGGUCUUUGGGGAUUUUCACUACGUAGCUGGCAACACAACGGUCUUAUUUAACCAUCAGACAUACUGCACAAAUGAUAUCUGGUUGCCAUGAAGACAUCUUUAGAAAGAGGUACAUUUCAGAAAUGGAAGUGCUCUGAAAAAAUAAAAUGGAAAAGAAAAAGGAAGAAUUUGAUCAUGUAGGAACUGGAAGAGCUGAACUGCUUCAUGAAGAAAGACAUGAAUGAGUUAUAUACACCAGACUCUACUUCAGUGGCCAGGACCUUUAAGGCUGCUGAUUCUUUGGCUCUGGUUUCUCCUGCCGAACAUCAUGGAUCUGUUCCUAAAGGAGACAUUUUCUUUUCCUUUCUACAAAUGAGACUAAAAUGAUGAAGGACAGAUAAUGUGAAUCUUUUCAGUAUUGUGGUUGUAUCAUUAAAUAUCUUGGACUUUAAAAACAAGAGUGAUUGGGAGGGAGGAAUCUGUUUCUUCUUUUUCCUAACAGUGUAAAGGAUGUUUUUUGCAAGUUCAAAUGUGGUUCAAGUGACCCAGCACAAAGAAUGACAAGUUGCUAGAAGUCACUGGGUUCUACAGUUUAGGAAGUGAAAAGUAGAUCUGCUCUCAGAAGCAGAAGUUUUUUCAUAUUCGUCUACAGAUGAAAAAUUUAAUAUGGGAAUGAGGGGAAAAAAACUUAAAUUAUGCCCAAAGGGCAUUUUUGCUCUAGAACGGCUUUGAAGCACAGAAUGUAUUAGGGCCCAGUAUAACAAUGGUACUGGAGAUAAAAUGCUGAACUGUUUCAUCUUUGUUUAAGCCAAUGGAAAAAAUGGAAGGAAAUCGUGUAAAAGUCUGCUUCAAGCAGAUUUUAACCUGUGUUUAGCUCCCUCUGCUUACUUCCUUUGCAUGCACAACUUUAAAAGCCUUAUAGAUGGGAUUUUUUUUAAAAAAAAAUCUCAGUAAUUUU